CGGCUUUGACCUAAUGGCAUCCGUUUGCUAGAAUCUGAAUAGUUGAGAACAAAGUGGCAAACAGGUGCAUAACGCAUGGGAAUCUGCCGAAUAGUUCAGGCCAAAUCCUGAAGAAAGCUCAAAGUGCCGUUUGAUGAGCCUUCACAGUAUUAGUUAGUUUGUUAGGUAAAGGCUGGCCAAGCCAAUUAUGCUUAGCUGGUCUUUUUGGAUGAUCAGCCACACUGUGACUGAGACACAGCCCGGACUCCCAUGAAGGUCAAUGCGGCUUGUAAAGCUCUUAUGUCAAGUACGCGAUCAUGAUAGAACUUGAGGAAGAAACCCUGGCUAACUCCGUGCCAGCAGCCGCCAUAAGAGGGAGGGGGGAG
This 365-nucleotide non-coding RNA is filed under the name Triticum aestivum (bread wheat). RNAcentral's name for it is "Bacterial small subunit ribosomal RNA". It matches the Rfam family "Bacterial small subunit ribosomal RNA", at positions 37 to 537 of the family's 1533-position model. The record is from Rfam by way of RNAcentral. Lineage: Eukaryota; Viridiplantae; Streptophyta; Magnoliopsida; Poales; Poaceae.